Molecule: ribosomal RNA, 232 nt
Filed under: uncultured Pasteurellales bacterium
Lineage: Bacteria; Pseudomonadati; Pseudomonadota; Gammaproteobacteria; Pasteurellales
Description: partial 16S ribosomal RNA
Rfam family: Bacterial small subunit ribosomal RNA
Source: RNAcentral
CGGACGGGUGAGUAAUGCUUGGGAAUCUAGCUUAUGGAGGGGGAUAACUACAGGAAACUGUAGCUAAUACCGCGUAAUAUCGAGAGAUUAAAGUGUGGGACCUUCGGGCCACAUGCCAUAGGAUGAGCCCAAGUGGGAUUAGGUAGUUGGUGAGGUAAAGGCUCACCAAGCCGACGAUCUCUAGCUGGUCUGAGAGGAUGACCAGCCACACUGGGGCUGAGACACGGCCCAG